AGCUGCACCUCCCGCGUGACCCCUCUAGCCAGCUGGGCCCCUCAGAUGAGAGUUGCAUCCAGGCCAGCACUAGCCGCUCAGCCACCAGCAGCGGCACCCCCAUCUGCAGUUGGCUCUCCUGCUGCUGUGCCCCGUCUGAUGGCCCAAAUGGCAACCACUGCAGCUGGCGCGGCUGUGGGCUCUGCCGUGGGGCACACACUGGGUCACGCCAUUACUGGGGGGUUUAGUGGAGGAAGUAAUGCUGAGCCUGCGAGGCCUGACAUCACUUACCAGGAGCCUCAGGGAACCCAGCUGGCACAGCAGCAGCAGCCUUGCUUCUAUGAGAUCGAACAGUUUCUGGAGUGUGCCCAGAACCAUGGUGACAUCAAGCUCUGUGAGGGUUUCAAUGAGGUGCUGAAACAGUGCCGACUGGCAAAACGAUUGGCCUGA
This 429-nucleotide long non-coding RNA is filed under the name Homo sapiens (human). Its description in RNAcentral is "non-protein coding lnc-PAN3-2:2". Lineage: Eukaryota; Metazoa; Chordata; Mammalia; Primates; Hominidae. The record is from RNAcentral.